RNAcentral lists this transfer RNA (71 nucleotides) under Mesorhizobium sp. RNAcentral's name for it is "tRNA-Gly". The stretch from base 7 to 64 matches the Rfam family "tRNA", at positions 7 to 64 of the family's 71-position model. From Rfam's summary of the family: Transfer RNA (tRNA) molecules are approximately 80 nucleotides in length. Their secondary structure includes four short double-helical elements and three loops (D, anti-codon, and T loops). Further hydrogen bonds mediate the characteristic L-shaped molecular structure. tRNAs have two regions of fundamental functional importance: the anti-codon, which is responsible for specific mRNA codon recognition, and the 3' end, to which the tRNAs corresponding amino acid is attached (by aminoacyl-tRNA synthetases). tRNAs cope with the degeneracy of the genetic code in two manners: having more than one tRNA (with a specific anti-codon) for a particular amino acid; and 'wobble' base-pairing, i.e. permitting non-standard base-pairing at the 3rd anti-codon position. RNAcentral also lists the same sequence under 1 other name. Lineage: Bacteria; Pseudomonadati; Pseudomonadota; Alphaproteobacteria; Hyphomicrobiales; Phyllobacteriaceae. The record is from RNAcentral.
AAUAUUGUAGCUCAGUCGGAUAGAGCGCCGAUUGCCAAUCGAGAUCGCGGGUUCAAGUCCCGUCCAUCCCU